Long non-coding RNA from Camelus dromedarius (Arabian camel), 5164 nucleotides. RefSeq annotates it as zinc finger protein 569. Lineage: Eukaryota; Metazoa; Chordata; Mammalia; Artiodactyla; Camelidae. The record is from RefSeq and is a predicted model, not a curated record. The transcript has 6 exons.
GCCUCUGGGAAGUGUUAUCCUGCGCCUAACGGACCAGGGCUCGUGCUGCCCUCGCCACGGCGGGCGCUGACUUCAGUGGCCCCCUUACCUCGGGCCGCACCGCCGGUGCCACCUGGGCGGCGUUGAGGUGUGGGACUGGGGCCUGUGUCCGCGGGCUCGGUGGUUCUCCGGGUAUUAAGGAUUUAUUCAUUUAUCCAUCACCACCGUGACAGGAAUAAUUAUAGAUGCUUGGGAUAUAACAUUGGACAAGAAAGACAAACUCUCUGCUGUCAUGGUACUUACAUUGUUGUGGGCCAGAUAAUAAAUGAGCUCUGCCUUCUCAGGCCCAGUCCAUUCCCAGAAAGAAGAGGAAAUGACUGACUCCCAGAACAUCUAAGAUGGAUGACUUCAGAUUGAGUGGGAGUAUGUUACAGGAAACAGUGACAUUCAAAGAUGUGGCUAUUGACUUCACUCAGGAAGAGUGGCAGCAAUUGGAUCCUGCUCAGAGGAACCUGUACCGGAAUGUGAUGCUAGAAAACUAUAACAACUUAAUCACAGUGGGAUGUCCAUUCACCAAACCUGAUGUGAUUUUCAAGUUGGAGCAAGAAGAAGAACCAUGGGUGGUGGAGGAAGAAGUGUUAAAGAGACAUUGUCCAGGAGAAAUACGGGGAAUUGAUGAGCAUCAGAAAAUCCAGGACAGACUUUUGACACAACUUGAAGGUAAAUUCACAAAAACACUGACUGAAGAAAAAGUCAAUGCAUGUCAUAAGAAAUUUGCAAAUGCAUUUCCUCCAGACUCAGACUUUUUCCCUUCCAGUCACAAUCUCUAUGAAUAUGACUUAUUUGGAAAGUAUUUCGACUAUCAUAAUAAUGAGAGAAUCCUUAUAAGAAAAGAAAAUUGUGAAUAUAAUGAGCCUAUGAAAUCAUUUGGCAGUACAUUAUCCCAUUUUGUAGUAACCCCUUUUAAGUGUAAUCAUUGUGGAAAAGGUUUCGAUCAAACCUUGGACCUCAUCAGACACCUGAGAAUUCAUACUGGAGAGAAACCCUAUGAAUGUAAAAAAUGUAGAAAAGCCUUCAGCCACAAGGAAAAACUCAUUAAACAUCAUAAAAUUCACAGUAGAGAGCAGUCUUAUGAAUGUAAUGAAUGUGGGAAAGCUUUCAUUAAAAUGUCAAAUCUCAUUAGACAUCAAAGAAUCCAUACUGGAGAGAAACCUUAUGCAUGUAAGGAAUGUGGGAAAUCCUUCAGCCAGAAAUCAAAUCUCAUUGAUCACGAAAAAAUUCAUACUGGAGAGAAACCUUAUGAAUGUAAUGAGUGUGGAAAAGCAUUCAGCCAGAAGCAAAGCCUCAUUGCACAUCAGAAAGUUCAUACUGGUGAGAAACCUUAUGCAUGUAAUGAAUGUGGUAAAGCCUUCCCUCGAAUAGCAUCUCUUGCUCUUCAUAUGAGAAGUCAUACAGGAGAGAAACCUUAUAAAUGUGAUAAAUGUGGAAAAGCCUUCUCUCAGUUUUCCAUGCUUAUUAUACAUGUAAGAAUUCAUACAGGUGAGAAACCCUAUGAAUGCAAUGAAUGUGGAAAAUCCUUCUCUCAAAGCUCAGCCCUUACUGUACAUAUGAGAAGUCAUACUGGUGAGAAACCUUAUGAAUGCAAGGAAUGUAGAAAAGCCUUCAGCCACAAGAAGAACUUCAUUACACAUCAGAAGAUUCAUACUAGAGAGAAACCUUAUGAAUGUAAUGAAUGUGGGAAAGCUUUCAUUCAGAUGUCAAAUCUCGUUAGACACCAGAGAAUUCACACUGGAGAAAAACCUUAUGUAUGUAAGGAAUGUGGCAAAGCCUUUAGCCAGAAAUCAAAUCUCAUUGCUCAUGAAAAAAUUCAUUCUGGAGAGAAACCCUAUGAAUGUAAUGAAUGUGGUAAAGCCUUCAGCCAAAAGCAAAACUUUAUUACGCAUCAGAAAGUUCACACUGGAGAGAAACCUUAUGAUUGUAAUGAAUGUGGUAAAGCCUUCUCUCAGAUUGCUUCCCUUACUCUUCAUCUGAGAAGUCACACAGGGGAAAAGCCUUAUGAAUGUGAUAAAUGUGGGAAAGCCUUCUCUCAGUGCUCAUUGCUUAACUUACAUAUGAGAAGUCAUACAGGUGAGAAGCCCUAUGUAUGUAAUGAAUGUGGGAAAGCUUUCUCUCAAAGAACUUCGCUUAUUGUGCACAUGAGAGGUCAUACAGGUGAGAAACCUUAUGAAUGUAAUAAGUGUGGAAAAGCCUUCUCCCAAAGCUCCUCCCUUACUAUACAUAUACGAGGUCAUACAGGUGAGAAACCCUUUGACUGUAGUAAAUGUGGAAAAGCCUUUUCUCAAAUCUCAUCUCUUACACUUCAUAUGAGAAAACAUACAGGUGAGAAGCCUUAUCAUUGUAAUGAGUGUGGUAAGGCUUUCAGCCAGAAGUCACACCUUGUUAGACACCAGAGAAUUCAUACUCAUUAGAAAUAGAAACCCUGUGAAUCUCAUGAAUAUGGAAAAGCCUUCAGAAGGAAUUAGCACCUCCUUGUGCAUUAUGUAAUUGGAUCUAGAGCAGAAAACUGUGAAUGUGGGAAAGCCUUUUGAAGAAGUCACACAUUUGUGAAACAUGAGAAUCUUACCAAGGUGACAAAUUGUAUUGUGAAAAGAUGAUCAUCAAAAAUCUUCAGCAGACAUCUUACCUAAUGAUAACAUUUACCCAGCAUUCUCAUUAAUAUCUGAAACAGGAUAUUUGCUAUUAGUAUGUCUACAUGCUACUUGAGCUUCUAGCCAAUAUCUUAAGCAAGAAAAAGAAGAUUGGAGAAAAAAAGAAACUAUAAAAAUAACCUUUUAUAUGAGAAUAGUUAAUUAGAAAAUGUUGAUAUAAAAUAUCUAAGAAUAAAUAAUGAAUUAUAAGACAUAUAAAGUUACACAACAUUUUGAAGGGCACAAAAGAACACCUGAAAAUUUGAGAAAAAUAGCAUUGUCUGAAAAGACUUGAGAUUGUAAAAAUAUAUAUAUAUAUAUAUAUAAAAUUUCUCACAAAUCUCUAUGUUUAAAGUACAUCCACUCAAAAUUUUUACCAGUUAUAUUUUAAAAAUUUCACAAACUGAAUCAAAAUUUUACAUAGGGAGUUAAAGGACCACUAAUGGCUUAAAAAAAUGUGAAAGCAAAAGAAAAGACAGACUACUAGAUAUCAUCAUAUAUUUAUUUAAAGCUGCUGCCACUUGAACAGUGUGUUCUUGAUGAGUAAAUAAAUCAGUGGAAACAAACUGGGGACUGGAGGAAGGAGAUACAGGAAUUAUGUGUACUAUAGUGUUAUUGAAACCACUGGGAAAAGGAUGGCCUAUUCAAUAAAUGGAAGAUUCAACAAAAAAUGUUAGCUCUCUACUUUAUACCAUAUACAAAAAUAAAACCCAAACAGAUUGAAGACAAUAUAAAAUAUAAAAUUUUAUAACUAUGAUAAAAUAGAAUAGACUAUAUUUCUUACUUUAGAGUGACAGGACUUCUUUAAAAACACAUAAAUACGGAACAUUCAAUUCUAUUUUGGUGUAUUGGCUUUAGAAGCACCACAUUUGUGCACAGAGAUACAUGUAUCUCGCUGUGUUCGCUGCAUCAUGGUUUGUAUUUACUUUAAAUUGGACAGAACAAACAUUUCCAUUAGUAGAGAGAUAGGUCAAUACAAGAUGAUUAUUUCUAUGAAAACACCACAAAGAUACAAAUUUGAUAUAUCACUACAUUGAUACAUAAUAUUGAGAGAAAAAAGCAAAUGUACAAUGAAGCAUGGUGUAACAGUUCUAUAAAUUUAAUAUAACAGUGCAAAGUACAGUACUGUGUAUUGAUCUUGAAUACAUAUGUGACAUUGGUUGACUUUUAGGCAUUGGAAGGAGUUUUAUUUAUCUGUAAUAUUUCUUUAAUAAAGAAUGAAAGUGGAUAUGGCAGCAGUAACAAGUCUGGUUGUCAAAAUUAUGUUGUGGUUUUUUGAAAAAAUUCUUUAUUGUUUCUCUAAAAUAAGAAAUAGGUAGAAAAAACCUGUACCUAUAGAAACAAUUUUUAAAUAGAUUGUUACUUUGAUCAGAUACUAACAUUUACAGAAAAUUAUCUUUAAUAAUACAUAAACCAAACCUGAAUUAAAUAAUACUCUCGCUUCAUAAUGUUAAUUAGGAUAAUACAAUUAGGAUAAUACAAAUCAGAAGCGUAUAACAUUUGUUUGAGGUCAAUUUUUAGAUUUCUCACUUUUAUCUCGUACACAAGUUCCUCCCUAUUUGAAAGCAGUGAAGAAACAAAAGAAAUACUCAAUUGUUGAGAUAACUGACUCUCCAUUUGGGAAAAAAAAAAAUCACCUGCAUUUGGGUUGGUUUUAAAUUGAGGGAAAGCGACCAUUCAUACUGUAAAAUGUUAUUAAUGUUCUAACAUAUCAAGCCAAUGGACAGUUUCCUGUAUUAGAGCAGAAGCAAUUCCAGUGUAUUUCAACAAAUAUUUCUUUGGUUUCUGGAUCCUUAAAUGGAGAUACAGAUGCUGGUAAUUUUAUGUGUGUCAGGUAAGAGACCAGCAUAUGUGAAAGUUCAUAUCUUCCUGUACCACAGCUGUUUUGUAUUCAGGCCUUUCAAAUAUUUAUAGUACUCAAAGUUCUUUUUCUGUGAAAAGCCCACUCAUGUAUUUUGUCUAUUUUUUUCUCUACUAGGACUUUAAGAAAAUAUUUUUAUUUAGAAAUAAUUACAGAUUUAUAGAAAGUUGAAGAAAUAGUACUAUAGUACUAUUUAGUUUGUGUACCCAUAUCCAGUUUCCCCUAAUGGUAACAUUUUACAUAACUAUAGUAAACAUCAAAUUUGACACUGGCGAUCAACAGACUUUACCAGAGUUCACUGAUUUUAUAUGCACUUGUGUACGUGUGUCUGUGUAGUUCUAUUCAGUUUUAUCUAGUGUAACUUUGUAUAACUACCACCACAAUCAAAAUACAGAACUUGCAACACUAUGGUACCUUGUUCUAUCCCUUUAUGAUCACACCCAUCCUUGUUUCAUCCCCUCGCUCCCCACUCCUAGUCCCUGCCAACUACUACUCUUCUCCAUAAUUUUGUCAUUAUCAGGAGUGUUCUUUAAAUGGAAUCACUAUAUAACCUUUUAAGACUGGCUUUUUUUUCCCCACUAAACAUGAUUCCCUUGAGAUCAAACCCAGUUGUUGUAGGUACAGUUUGUUCUUUUUU